AGUGAACGCUGGCGGUAGGCCUAACACAUGCAAGUCGAACGGCAGCACAGUAAGAGCUUGCUCUUACGGGUGGCGAGUGGCGGACGGGUGAGGAAUACAUCGGAAUCUACUUUUUCGUGGGGGAUAACGUAGGGAAACUUACGCUAAUACCGCAUACGACCUACGGGUGAAAGCAGGGGAUCUUCGGACCUUGCGCGAUUGAAUGAGCCGAUGUCGGACUAGCUAGUUGGCGGGGUAAAGGCCCACCAAGGCGACGAUCCGUAGCUGGUCUGAGAGGAUGAUCAGCCAAAAUGGAACUGAGACACGGUCCAGACUCCUACGGGAGGCAGCAAGGGGGAAUAUUGGACAAAGGGCGCAAGGCUGAUCCAGCCAUACCGCGUGGGUGAAGAAGGUCUUCGGGUUGUAAAGCCCUUUUGUUGGGAAAGAAAAGCAGCAGGUUAAUACCCCGCUGUUCUGACGGUACCCAAAGAAUAAGCACCGGCUAACUUCGUG
This 492-nucleotide ribosomal RNA is filed under the name uncultured bacterium. RNAcentral describes it as "partial 16S ribosomal RNA". It matches the Rfam family "Bacterial small subunit ribosomal RNA", at positions 29 to 507 of the family's 1533-position model. The record is from RNAcentral.